Venturia canescens is the source of this 1294-nucleotide long non-coding RNA. RefSeq lists it as uncharacterized. The record is from RefSeq and is a predicted model, not a curated record. NCBI's taxonomy places the organism in Eukaryota, Metazoa, Arthropoda, Insecta, Hymenoptera, Ichneumonidae. The transcript has 6 exons.
CCGAAAGCUUACAUUGCCCGGAUCCUCUUGGAAGAUCCGUAGCGACACGGACACUGUCAAUAGGAGAGAUGAAACAGAGAGAUUCUGGAGUGGUUGGUGUUCGUUCGUACGUUAGUGCGAACGAGGCGUCCUACAUCCGUCCCGCCGAGCUUAUAAAACGCUCCAAUCCGCAGCGAUUCUUCAUCCUCGCAUAAUGACCAAUUUCACCGAAGACGCCUUCUUUCCGUAAAUAAGAAAAGGGGAUUGGAGCCCGAUAGGCGUUUCGUGUAUGCACGCUCGCCCGGACGACACAAGAAAAACGUGAGCCAAGGACCAGACAUCGAUCUAUGGAUUUCCAUCACCCUUCGAGCCACCCCGAUAAAGAUCUCGAUGUUGGGUGGAUGGAGCCUAACCCUGUGCGGCUCAACGAGCGGGAACUAGACAGCAAAAAGCCGCAACACGAAGACUCUGCACCACUGAGAACCUCACACCCGAGGAUCGUAAUUAACCAGCUCUACCCCAUCCUGUCGUGAAGAUAUAAACCUCCGCUUCUCCAUACAGUUCUUAUAUACAUUUAUGAUUGGCGUAAUCAGUAUCUUUCAGCGGAAUUUUUUUCUGAUCAAACUUCUUGCAUCUUCAAACGUCUGCUCAAUUAAUAACGAGGCCCGAGGGACUGCGCUCAAUUUGCUUUUGUUUCUCCAUCCAUACUAAUUUGAGUGGCGAGGCUCAUUCCGGGGUCCCUUUGAACGGUGUGCCGGAUUCACCAGCGAGUUCCAGAAGCGGCAGUCUUCUGGGCUCCACUGAGCGCUACGCAGGAAGGGCCCUUGCAUGCUCUCACCGCGGUUACGUGUGUGCACUCUCCGUCUUCCUUCCUCCUGCACUCGUAGCUAGCGAUGCUGCCGAGAGGAAGAGACGAGGAGGCCUCGUGCGGACCACGCGGCAGACAUACCGAUAGCUACCCGAAACGCCUUAAUAGUGGAUCCCGGGCUCACGCGAAAAGUGUGCGGCUUGAGGUGGGGGGCAACCUAAGAACAGAACGAGAGGAGAAGUCUCGUCAAUGGGAUCGAGGGAAUUUCGUUCGGAGCCGAAGAUUCGUUCUACCCUGAGAGGAACCGGGGAUAUCGAAGAUCAUGUUAGAUCUCUCGAGGCAAAAGCUGAAUAUUUCUUCUGUUCAAGAAUCUCGGAUAUCCCAGUUGGAAACAAUCGUGCCUCGCGAUAUUCGACUUAACCAUUUGGACUUUGGAGCAGUGCCGGAAACAAUCCUGGAUCGUAGAGCAUCGCAAUCUCGCUACCACGAAACUCGUCCUGAGGAUUU